Molecule: ribosomal RNA, 429 nt
Filed under: bacterium
Lineage: Bacteria
Description: partial 16S ribosomal RNA
Rfam family: Bacterial small subunit ribosomal RNA
Source: RNAcentral
UGGGGAAUCUUCCGCAAUGGACGAAAGUCUGACGGAGCAACGCCGCGUGAGUGAUGACGGCCUUCGGGUUGUAAAGCUCUGUUAAUCGGGACGAAUGGUUCUUGUGCGAAUAGUGCAAGGAUUUGACGGUACCGGAAUAGAAAGCCACGGCUAACUACGUGCCAGCAGCCGCGGUAAUACGUAGGUGGCAAGCGUUGUCCGGAAUUAUUGGGCGUAAAGCGCGCGCAGGCGGAUUGGUCAGUCUGUCUUAAAAGUUCGGGGCUUAACCCCGUGAUGGUAUGGAAACUGCCAAUCUAGAGUAUCGGAGAGGAAAGUGGAAUUCCUAGUGUAGCGGUGAAAUGCGUAGAUAUUAGGAAGAACACCAGUGGCGAAGGCGACUUUCUGGACGAAAACUGACGCUGAGGCGCGAAAGCCAGGGGAGCGAACGGG